RNAcentral lists this unclassified non-coding RNA (345 nucleotides) under soil metagenome. Its description in RNAcentral is "partial contains 5.8S ribosomal RNA, internal transcribed spacer 2, and large subunit ribosomal RNA". The stretch from base 1 to 119 matches the Rfam family "5.8S ribosomal RNA", at positions 35 to 154 of the family's 154-position model. The record is from RNAcentral.
GAUGAAGAACGCAGCGAAAUGCGAUACGUAAUGUGAAUUGCAAAUUCAGUGAAUCAUCGAGUCUUUGAACGCACAUUGCGCCCCCUGGUAUUCCGGGGGGCAUGCCUGUCCGAGCGUCAUUGCUGCCCUCAAGCACGGCUUGUGUGUUGGGCCCCGUCCUCCGAUCCCGGGGGACGGGCCCGAAAGGCAGCGGCGGCACCGCGUCCGGUCCUCGAGCGUAUGGGGCCUUGUCACCCGCUCUGUAGGCCCGGCCGGCGCUUGCCGAUCAACCCAAAUUUUUAUCCAGGUUGACCUCGGAUCAGGUAGGGAUACCCGCUGAACUUAAGCAUAUCAAUAAGCGGAGGA